AUUCUGAGCAGUGAUUUUCCUUGGAAAUGCAUAAUGUUGACAUGAACUAUAAUUAACCCUUAAAUGAGCUAUGCAGGCGGGUAAUGUGCUUAAUGGUCAAAAUAUUAAAGAAAAGAUUCUGACAGCAGAACUCUCUACUAAUGACAUCCUCUUCAAAGAGAGAAGAGAGAGUUAAUAUAGAGCAGGAGGUUGGGAAGGAGACAGGCGCUGCAUCUCAAGUCUAAUCUCCUCCUCGUUUGUGUGGGUGAAGAAGGUUCUAGUCCCUGAGUGCCAGUGAUCACAUGUAGCCGCGCUGUUUAUACCACAGGCAUAGCCUACUCACGCACAAUAUACACACACUGCCCCAGCCUCCAGCACCAUCCACGGGCAUUGGAUAUAUCAGCCUGGGAGAACACACAGACAUACCCACAGACAGAGGGAGUGUUUUCUUUUACAGUGGAUUCCCAGCUCUCAGACAGAAGCAGAGCUGGAAUGUAGAAUGGUCAAAAACUCCAGGCUGUUAACUUCAUUCCUGGGAGCUCAAGUAAACCAAUGAGUGGAUCGAUUUAAUGGAUUGAAUAAAUUGAUAACUGAAAUCAAUCGACUCCUCAGUGCAACAAAUUAUUGGGGGUACGACCGAUUGAUGGGCGAGUCCACCGUGGCUGACAGUCUGCAUUGAACAGUCCACUGGUAAAAUACUCAGCUGUCGCGCAGAGGAGCAGCGAAGAACAGUCAGUGAAGUCCAGAGACAGUCACUCGGACAAGAGAGCCAGGUGUGAGAGGUUGUUGCCAUGGGGAAGGACUACUAUAAAACCCUGGGCAUCCCUAACCCAGUAACCUUCCUCACACUCUUCUUCUACCUCCAG
Long non-coding RNA from Oncorhynchus tshawytscha (Chinook salmon), 845 nucleotides. The record is from Ensembl. NCBI's taxonomy places the organism in Eukaryota, Metazoa, Chordata, Actinopteri, Salmoniformes, Salmonidae.